RNAcentral lists this transfer RNA (86 nucleotides) under Neocucurbitaria cava. RNAcentral describes it as "Pyrenochaeta cava tRNA". It matches the Rfam family "tRNA". From Rfam's summary of the family: Transfer RNA (tRNA) molecules are approximately 80 nucleotides in length. Their secondary structure includes four short double-helical elements and three loops (D, anti-codon, and T loops). The record is from Rfam by way of RNAcentral. Lineage: Eukaryota; Fungi; Ascomycota; Dothideomycetes; Pleosporales; Cucurbitariaceae.
GGCCUAAUGGCCCAAUGGCAAGGCGCUUGACUACGAUUAAUCAAUCCGAAAUCAAGAGAUUCCAGGUUCGACCCCUGGUUAGGUCA